UAAAUAAAACAGUGACAUAACGCAUCUCCCUCUUCGUGUUUGCAAAUUUAAGAUUAAAUAGUAGUGUGUUUGAGAAAAUGCCGAGUCCGAGUGCCCUUGUCCUGUUGCAAAUUCACAGAGCAAUUUGGUGAUAGAUGUGAAGACUUAACACAGUUGUCUUCUCUCAGAAGAAAAUCAGAAAUGCUCACAAACAUUCACAUUUAAGAAUUCUCAUUUCAGGGGUGCAUAGGUGACUCAGUCCAUUGAGAGCCCGACUCUGAUUUUGGCUCAGGUCAUGAUCCCAGGGUUGUGGAAUCCAGCUCCAUGUAGGGCUCCACGCUGGACAGCGCAGAGCCUGCUUCAGAUUCUGUUCUUCCCUCUUCCUCUGCACCCCCCCCAACCCCACACACGUGUACGCUCUCUAAAUUAAAAAAAAAAAAAAAAAAGAGUUCUCAUUUCAGUGUUAUAAAUGAAAGUAAAAACGGAGAAACGCCAUAAAUAUCUAGCCUUAGGGAAGUAGUUGAAUUAUGUGACAUCAGUAAAAUGAAAUAACGUGCAUCCUUGGGCCACAUUUUUAAAAAUCAUUACUUGUUCAUAUUGUGAAAACAACAGGAAUAAAAUUAGUAUGAUCAAUACAACCCCAAUUUUAGGUGGAAAGACUAAAAUUGAAAAUGACUGAAAGGAAAUAUACCAAAAGAUAAACAAAUUAUUUUUUCUAGUCAGAUUUAGGUGACGAUAAUUUUUAUCCUUUAUACUUAUAUGUAUCUCUGAGCAACACUGUGAACGUGAAUUGCUUUUAUAAUCAUUAAAAAUAGUAAAUGUUAUUUUUGAAAGAAUCACCUUGUAUGUCCAAAUUAUCACUAAAUCUGAGUUAAUGACAUCUAAAUUAAGAACAUUUUCAUAAUAAAGCUUGAAUAGUAUAGUAUUAUAUGCACAGUGGGAAUUCAGUAUAUUAUAUUGAUAAGUUUCAUUUAUAGCAAGAUGCUAAAUAUAGGCUUAAAAAGGAAAUUAUUUUCCAGAGAUUUCCGGAUAAGUAAUUGUUGCAAAACAGGUUGUGUUUCAGCCUGAAACAACCUGGCAGCAGGAUUUAGUAGAGUGCUUAUAAUCACAUCAACUGGCACACUUUUCUAGGUAUGUCAACACAGUUUGGGUAUCAUGGGGGGCAGUUUGUGUUCCCCAUAGCUUUGUAAAUUCUUAACAGCUUCGCAGAUAGUCUGACAAAAAGACUACAUUUAUAGAAAUGGGAGAAAAUGCAUUCAGGUACUUACAGCAUCUUUUUGAGGUGUGUGUGUGCAUGUGUGUGUGUGUGUGCGUGCGUGUGGUUUUGGUGUGGUGUGUGUGCGUGUGUUUUCCAAUGAAGUAUUCCUUUUGAAGUUCAGAGCUUAGGCAGAGAAAGCACGAGUUUGGUGGGUAUAACUUUCAAAUGCUUAAAACAGCAACUUUAAUCUCAAGUUAUGAUUGACAUCAAGCAAAAUGCAGACUCUCUUUGUUCUGUGUGUGUGUGUGUGUGUGUGUGUGUUGUUUAAUGUAAGGAAAAGGUUUGAAAAGUUCAACUGUAGACACUAAUGAAUUUGGCAUCCUUCAAGAUGUGUCUCAUAAGGAGCAACUCUAAUGACAGGCCCAUGACACAUGCUCUAAGGGAAUGUGACAACAGUCCCAGUUGGGAGGCCUGCUGUUGCAGAGACCUGCUUUCAGCUCCCAAACUCUGCCCUGGGGAGAGCAGGAUGUGUAGCCCUCUGGUAACCAGGCUGAGAGCCUCAGAUAUGGCAUCACACAGGCCUUUCAACAAUGACAAAAAUGAUCCGUGGGUCAAGGUGGCCAUAAACCGCCCACAUCAGAUUAUAUCAUUACACAGAGACGAGGUUACCUGAAGGAAGAGUAGGAAAGAUUUACCUUCUGGUAAUUUUGUUUUCUUGAUGUUUUUGGAAAAGGUUCAGGUUUUUUGUUUCUUUUGUCAACUUCCCUAAUAGUAUAUAAGUGGCUAUAGAUGGGCACCGCAGCUUUGAUUGAGUGCUGACCCCAAAGAUUUAUGAAAGUUUACAGCAGAAAAAAAAAAAAAAGCUCUUCGAAGAUGACUCAAGUCACAUGGAACCUCUGUGGCCUUUUGAACCUUUGAUCAUCUCAAAAUAAAAGGCAUAUAACUUUUGAUCACAUAAUUGUGCAUGGACCAUAUUAUGUUUACAUUGGCUUCUAGACUCAGCUCCCUCAUUUCCAUUUUACACACCUCUAUUAGUUUCUACUUCCUAAUGCCCCUGUCCAUGCCUCUCUCCACUAUGGUCCUUUGAUCAUUUGGUCAUUUGUUUAUUUAUUUGAGUAUGCAACAGGCAUUUAUUGAGCACCAACCAUGUAUCAGGCAUCUUAGCAUCAGAGAUCAGGAAAUUAUCAUCAUGGUCCCUAAUCUCAAGGAGCCAACACUCUAAUUGGGGCACAGGAAAGGAAACUAAUUCACUAGGCAAUUGCUGCAAUAAAGCUGCCUAUAAAUGAUUACACAGUACAGUGGAUUGCAACAAUACACAUUUACUCUUACACCACAGAAUCUGCAGGUCAACUAUAGUUUGGCAGAUCUAGGUUGGGAGCUGUCUUUUCAGCUUUAAGUCAGCUGUGUUUGGCUCCAGACUGUGGGUUGGGCUCAGAUCUUCUUCAUGUGUGUUUAUUCUGAGGCCCAGGUGGAAGGGACAGUAGAUUCUCCGGGGCGUGCUUUUCUCAGGCAGGUCACAGAGUAAAGACCCAAACUAAGCCACGCGAGCACAUUUAAUAUAACGCCUGCUAACAUUUUAACAGCUGAAGCAAGUUACAUUGUUAAGCCCAGUGUCAAUGGAGUAGGGAAAUCUGUUCCACCCACUCUAGUGCAUUAUAGGCAGCACGGUAGAGGAAGGGCAUGAAUAAUUGGCAAGAUAAGAAUCUACCACACAAAUGAUGACAAUCAGGUAUGAUAAACAGUACAAGAGAAGUAUAGUCAAGGUUUUGAGGAGGUACAGAGAAAUACCAUAGAGGAGGGGCAUGUCAAUCACAGUUGAACCAGGAAAGCAAAGGCAGUAGGAUAGAUAAAUAGGUGAUGUAUAGAUGGAUAAAUAGAUGAAUGGAAGAUACAGAGAGAGAGAGAUACAUACAUGCAUACAUACAUACAUACAUACAUACAUAGUUGUUACAGGGCUUUAACUCUACACAGCAUGGGAAAGCAGUGUCUAUAAGGUUUUUCUGCAUCUGAUGAUGGAACUUGACAUUCACAGCCAAACAGUCAAAAAGGGGAAAUGGAUGCAGAGUAGGGGAGAUCAAGGACAGACUGGAACCCCCAAACACUGAAUGUUUGCAUGCAAGGAUGGACUGAGACAUGCGUCUGUUCUUGUUGCCUCUGCCUUGGGGACCUGGAUGAUAGAGGUAAACACGCACCUGGCCCGGAAGUCAGAGAAGCCCAGGGAGGAUCUGGGGAAGGCAGAGUGGGCUUGGCUGCUGCUUCACACCAAGGAGGCAAGUCAGUACAUCAGCAAUAAUGUGUGCGAGCUACAGAAUGACUGUUUCUUCCCUUCUGUCCUUCACAUCUCCCAAGAAUCUUCCUGUAGCUCACCCUAACCAGAAACAUUAAAAGGAGAAGAAGGAGAAGAAGGAGAAGGAAAAGGAGAAGGAAGAGGAGGAGGAAGGAAAUUGAAAACUGGGGAAAUGUAGUUCAGCAUAGCCCAGUGGACACAUGACAGGGCCACCAAAGGGAAACCUAAUCCAACUAUCAGAAAGAGUAAAUUAGAAAGUACUUUCAGUGAAGGUGAUAUUUGAACUAAAUCUUUAAGGAUGAGCGGGAGUUAACCAGGAAGGAGGAAUGUCCAUUUAGGCAGGUACAAAGCAUGAGAAAGGUAGGCUCAAGAAUAUGGAAGUCCUGGUGUGGGAAGCAGCAUAGCCAAAGCCACCAAGAACACAUCAUAGUCAAAGUUGGGUUUAACUUAUUACAGCAAAGGAGAAUGCACACCAGGAGUAUGACGGGGCAUCUUAGGGAAGGAGUUGGAAGAGGCUUACUAUAGAAAACAGGGCUCGUGCACAUGCUGAGGAAGUUUAAAGAUGUGAGAGUCAGUUCCCAUUAGCUGUUUUUAAGAAGUAUCGGGCUAUUGUGAUGGACUGAACCAUUCUCCACUCCCCAAAUCCAUAUACUGAAGUCCUAACCCCCAGAAUGUCAGAAUGUGCCUGUAUUUGAAGGUGGGGCUUUUAAGUAGGUAACGAAGGUUAACAAGAUCCUAAGGGUUAGAUCCAAUAGAAUUGGUGUCAUUCUAAGGAGAGGAAGAGACCCCAGGGAUGUAUGUGCACAGAAGAGAGGCCAUGUGAGGACACAGAGCUACAAGCUGAGGAGAGAGUUGUCUGGAGAAACCAAACCUUCCAACACCUUGAUCUUGGACUUCCAGCUUCCAGAUCUGUUGCUUAAGCCCCCCGCCCAGUCUGUGUUCUUUUGUUACAGCAGCUCCCACAGACUCAUACAGGUAUCCUGGUAGCUUUUGUCUAGAAAGCAGGAGAACUAAAGCAGAGCUAGAGUCGAAGGGGAUGUGUCAUUAUUUUUGUGUUUGCAGUGCCUUUGUCUCUCUCCUGUUGCACAUGGUCUCAAAGUCUGGUUAUUUUUAUAUUCUGCGAGAGUUGUUUGUGUUUAGUUGGGAACAUCAUGGCCUACCUGUCAGCUACCAGCUGCCGAAGCUGUUUUUCGACUUCUCGUUGGCAUCUGUGGAGAGCGGUCUCACUCACUGAUCCAGAAAUUACACUGAGUCUCCAAUGCUUAUUUUGUUGACUACAGAUGCCACUGCUCGAUUCACCAGAUUCGCAGCCUGGCCUUGCUCUCCCUCAUUUCUCUUCUUCCCCCACAUUCUCCAGUACUUGUGCUCUUCUACUCAGACUUUCUUUUCACUGUCACCCACGUGUGAACUGUCCUCAGACUGGUCUCUCCUGCUGGGGGUGUCCUCACACUUUCCUUCCACAUCCUCCUCCAAAGCAGGCAUACCUUUUGAGAUUCUCCACGAAGGGCUCUCACAUUACUCUAGCCAAGCCUUACUGUGUCUCCUUCCUUGGAACUCCUAUGGCUCAUAAAACAUCACAGCAGUAGACACUCUUGUUCUUUGUCCCUUUGGAUAAGUUCUGUGUUUCUAACAGGAAUAUCCACUCUCUGAGGGCAGGGACCUUUCUAGAACCUUUUUUUUUUUUUUUAAAAGGCUGGGGCGUGGAGCCCAGCACAGGGCUUGAACUCAGGACCCUGAGAUCAAGAAUCGGCCGGCGGCUUCACCUACUGAGCCGCCCAGGCAUCUCUAGAACCUCUAUUGAAUUCGAUUGUAGGUAAAUAACAUUGUAGUCCCUCAGCUACAAAAAGCGUAGUUGGUUUAUUACAUCAUAGUUUUGUUUCCUUUUUAAGCUGGGACCAUAUUAUGACAUCUUUGUGUUUCCUUUGCUGCUGGAAUGGUGUCCUUGACUUACUCCUGUAUUCAGCCAGCCAGCCAGCCAGCCAGCAAGUAUUUUUGAGUGCCUAUUUUUGUGCUCAGCACUUGAUGUUUAAGCCAAGUCCUGAAGGAUACGCAGAAAUAAACCUGAUAGCUACUGCCUGGACAGUGUGGGAUAAAGAAGAGAAAAAGCCUGACUUCCAUCAGAGGAUGGAAGUGAUAAGAAGAUAAGUUGCUCUAGACCUUGGGGACUCCAGUGAGUGACAGGCAAGUAAGGCAGGACAUCCCUGGCACAGAUGCCUUUACUUGCCAGCUCCUGGAGCCGUGGCA
Long non-coding RNA from Neofelis nebulosa (Clouded leopard), 5708 nucleotides. RefSeq lists it as uncharacterized. The transcript has 3 exons. NCBI's taxonomy places the organism in Eukaryota, Metazoa, Chordata, Mammalia, Carnivora, Felidae. The record is from RefSeq and is a predicted model, not a curated record.